UACGUAGGGCGCAAGCGUUGUCCGGAAUUAUUGGGCGUAAAGAGCUCGUAGGCGGUUUGUCGCGUCUGCUGUGAAAACCUCAGGCUCAACCUGGGGCUUGCAGUGGGGUACGGGCAGACUAGAGUGGCGGUAGGGGUGACUGGAAUUCCUGGUGUAGCGGUGGAAUGCGCAGAUAUCAGGAGGAACACCCGAGUGGCGAAGGCAGGUCA
RNAcentral lists this ribosomal RNA (209 nucleotides) under uncultured bacterium. RNAcentral describes it as "partial 16S ribosomal RNA". It matches the Rfam family "Bacterial small subunit ribosomal RNA", at positions 524 to 728 of the family's 1533-position model. The record is from RNAcentral.